This 1499-nucleotide long non-coding RNA is filed under the name Mus spicilegus (steppe mouse). RNAcentral's name for it is "lncRNA (ENSMSIG00000030665.1)". The record is from RNAcentral. Lineage: Eukaryota; Metazoa; Chordata; Mammalia; Rodentia; Muridae.
CUGGGGUCAAAAGGCUCAACACUGCAUGUAUUCCCAUGAUUCCCUGGGAAAAGUCCACAUUACCAACAGGAAACAGAUCAGUGGCUACCUACAGUUUAGGGAUGAAGCGGUAUUUAGUUGUGGGAAACCCAGGAGAUUUUGUUUAAGAUUAUAGAACCAAUCUGCGAGGCUCUGUGAGGAGAGAAACAUGAUUUUACACACAGUUGUCAAACCAGGAGAAUUUCCAAGCACAAAGAGUGAACUUUAAUGCAUGCAAAUUGGUUUUCUUCAUCAAGGAAGAGGCUAAGAGACCAACCAAGGAGUGCAGAUCCUCAUGCUUAUGCAACAGUGUCAUCUGGCUACUGUGAUCUACUUGGGUGAUCGAAACAACCGAUGGACGUGUAGAUUUCUACUGGCCUGUGAACUUCUUGGGGCUAGUACCACGUGUGUUUUAUUCAAUGCUUAAAAUGCAAAACAGCUCCGUCCUCAGACCUGGCAGCCAUAGAGCCUUCGGAGCUGCGUUCCAGACCCUCUACACCGCGUGGAUGACAACAUACCUGUCUGUACGGCUCAUACCUUGUAUACCUCAGUCUUCAGUCGUGGGCCAGGCUGAGCUUCGAGCAACUUCUGCAGCCACCUACUAUCUCUGUGCCACAAAACCCAGGGUGGUCCCCACUUUCUUCUCAGGUUACAGAUGCUCCACCUUCUCCUUCCUGCGGGCUGUGCACUGGCCACAGUUGUGGCUGAAGAGAAUGGGGCAAGCUGAGGACAAUGCCCUCCUUGGCUUACGUGCCCCAUUUACAAGCUUUAGUAUGUGGGAAUGGUGUAGCUUGGGGUGUUGGGAAAGGGAUGGUAAUGAGUACCUCAGAGUCUUGUACUGAGCCUGGGGGACUUCACAUUUUGGCCAGAUGCCAGCCCUACUGGGUAAUGGCUAGAUACAGAUAGUAAUCCCAAGAGAAGGGAGUGUGGAUUGUGUGUGUGGAUAGUAAUUCCAAGAGAAAGGAGUGUGGAUUGAGAGGGAAGACUCCAACGACCCAGAUCCCAUGAACAAGUGUUGUCAGCUGCCUAACAAUGCCCUCACACAUGUCAAGGACAAUAAGAAAGCCAAGUACAGAUUUGCUUUGGAAAUCACAGAUCCCAUUUUUUCACAUCAUGAGAAGGAACAGGCAGUGGUCCUAGAAAAGAAUCAAACCAACUUAACCCAAUUUGUCACCAAAUACAACAACACAUAUCCCUAAGUAAUUGAGUGGGGACAUUUGUAGUCUCCCCUCCCUCAGCCUGAAACCUGCUUGCUCAGGGGUGGAGUUUCCCGCUCAAUCGUUCUGCCACGCUUACUGCUGGAACCUGCCACUUUGCUGUUCCGAAGCCAUCACGUGAUCACCCUGCUACUGGACUCCAAGAUUAUUUGUCGGGAAUUGGGCCCCUCCCCCUUCCUUUAUAACUGAGUGCCGAAAUAGUAAAAAUUGAACCUUGAGCAGAGAGCUUUGUCUUGGUUCCUUCCUUAUCUAGCGCAGCCCAGC